AGUGGAUGGGGAGCAACCUAGUUGUGCGUGUGUAAAGGUAGUGCCAAGAAAAGCGGUGAUCAUGAUGAAAAUCAAUUCCCGGUACCCGAAACCGACACAGGUGGGCAAGUAGAGAAUACUAAGGGGCGCGAGGUAACUCUCUCCAAGGAACUCGGCAAAAUGACCCCGUAACUUAGGGAGAAGGGGUGCCACCGAGAGGUGGUCGCAGUGAAGAGGCCCAGGCGACUGUUUAGCAAAAACAUAGGUCUCUGCAAACUCGAAAGAGGAGGUAUAGGGGCUGACGCCUGCCCAGUGCCGGAAGGUUAAAGAAGUUGGUCAGUCUUAGGAUGAAGCUAGCGACUGAAGCCCCGGUGAACGGCGGCCGUAACUAUAACGGUCCUAAGGUAGCGAAAUUCCUUGUCGGGUAAGUUCCGACCCGCACGAAAGGCGUAACGAUCUGGGCGCUGUCUCGGAGAGAGGCUCGGCGAAAUAGGAUUGUCUGUGAAGAUACGGACUACCUGCAUUUGGACAGAAAGACCCUAUGAAGCUUUACUAUAGCUUGGAAUUGUGUUCGGGCUUCCUGUGCGCAGGAUAGGUGGGAGGCGUAGAAGGUAUUCUUGUGGGGAUACUGGAGCCAACGGUGAGAUACCACUCUCAGGAGGCUAGAAUUCUAACUUAAUUAAGGACAGUUUCAGGUGGGUAGUUUGACUGGGGCGGUCGCCUCCAAAAGGUAACGGAGGCGUACAAAGGUUCCCUCAGACUGGUUGGAAAUCAGCCGAAGAGUGCAAAGGCAGAAGGGAGCUUGACUGCGAGAAGUACAGUUCGAGCAGGGUGGAAACACGGUCUUAGUGAUCCGACGGUGCUGUGUGGAAGGGCCGUCGCUCAACGGAUAAAAGUUACUCUAGGAUAACAGGCUGAUCUCCCCCAAGAGUUCACAUCGACGGGGAGGUUUGGCACCUCGAUGUCGGCUCAUCGCAACCUGGGGCGGAAGUACGUCCCAAGGGUUGGGCUGUUCGCCCAUUAAAGCGGUACGUGAGCUGGGUUCAGAACGUCGUGAGACAGUUCGGUCCAUAUCCGAUGUAGGCGUGAGAAUAUUGAGAGGAGCCUUCCUUAGUACGAGAGGACCGGGAAGGACGCACCGCUGGUGUACCUGUUAUGAUGCCAAUUGUAAACGCAGGGUAGCCAAGUGCGGAGAGGAUAACCGCUGAAAGCAUCUAAGUGGGAAGCCCACCUCAAGAUGAGUAUUCUGGUGUAAGGUCACGGGAAGACGACCCGUAAAUAGGCACGAGGUGGAAGUGCAGAGAUGUAUGAAGCCGAAGUGUACUAAUAGACCGUCGGCUUGAU
This 1323-nucleotide ribosomal RNA is filed under the name metagenome. RNAcentral describes it as "bacterial LSU rRNA". It matches the Rfam family "Bacterial large subunit ribosomal RNA", at positions 1561 to 2925 of the family's 2925-position model. The record is from RNAcentral.